This 192-nucleotide unclassified non-coding RNA is filed under the name uncultured Exophiala. Its description in RNAcentral is "sequence contains ITS1". The record is from RNAcentral. Lineage: Eukaryota; Fungi; Ascomycota; Eurotiomycetes; Chaetothyriales; Herpotrichiellaceae.
CCGAGUUAGGGUCCUCGUCGGGCCCGACCUCCCAACCCAUUGUUUAUGAUACCCAGUGUUGCUUCGGCAGGCCUGGUCUCGACCUGCCGGAGGGCCGUAACACGCCCCUCGGAGAGUGCCUGCCGACGGCCCCAACUUCAAAAUUCUUUAACCAAACGUGUCUUUGUCUGAGUAAAGUCUUUAAUAAAAGCA